GGGAACAACUCUAAACUUCAGCGACGGAUCAUCUUGGUCUCGCAUGCGAUGCAAGAACGCAGCGAUGGAUAAGUAAUGGAUUGCAGAAUUCCGGAAUCAUCGA
Molecule: ribosomal RNA, 103 nt
Filed under: Rhytidium rugosum
Lineage: Eukaryota; Viridiplantae; Streptophyta; Bryopsida; Hypnales; Rhytidiaceae
Description: 5.8S ribosomal RNA
Source: RNAcentral